UACGUAGGUGACAAGCGUUGUCCGGAUUUACUGGGCGUAAAGAGCGCGCAGGCGGUCGAUCAAGUCGAGUGUGAAAGCCCCCGGCUCAACUGGGGAGGGUCAUUCGAUACUGAUCGACUCGAAGGCAGGAGAGGGUAGUGGAAUUCCCGGUGUAGUGGUGAAAUGCGUAGAGAUCGGGAGGAACAUCUGUGGCGAAGGCGACUGCCUGGACCAGCACUGACACUGAGGCACGAAAGCGUGGGGAGCAAACAGG
RNAcentral lists this ribosomal RNA (253 nucleotides) under uncultured bacterium. RNAcentral describes it as "partial 16S ribosomal RNA". It matches the Rfam family "Bacterial small subunit ribosomal RNA", at positions 524 to 776 of the family's 1533-position model. The record is from RNAcentral.